Molecule: transfer RNA, 71 nt
Filed under: Pristimantis malkini
Lineage: Eukaryota; Metazoa; Chordata; Amphibia; Anura; Strabomantidae
Description: tRNA-Val
Rfam family: tRNA
About the family: Transfer RNA (tRNA) molecules are approximately 80 nucleotides in length. Their secondary structure includes four short double-helical elements and three loops (D, anti-codon, and T loops). Further hydrogen bonds mediate the characteristic L-shaped molecular structure. tRNAs have two regions of fundamental functional importance: the anti-codon, which is responsible for specific mRNA codon recognition, and the 3' end, to which the tRNAs corresponding amino acid is attached (by aminoacyl-tRNA synthetases). tRNAs cope with the degeneracy of the genetic code in two manners: having more than one tRNA (with a specific anti-codon) for a particular amino acid; and 'wobble' base-pairing, i.e. permitting non-standard base-pairing at the 3rd anti-codon position.
Source: RNAcentral
UAGAGUAUAGCUUAAACUAAAGCACUUCGCUUACACCGAAGAAAUGUCUGCCAAACCCAGUCUACUCUAAG